UCAGCGGCAGACGGGUGAGUAACACGUGGGAACGUACCCUUCGGUUCGGAAUAACGCUGGGAAACUAGCGCUAAUACCGGAUACGCCCUUAUGGGGAAAGGUUUACUGCCGAAGGAUCGGCCCGCGUCUGAUUAGCUAGUUGGUGGGGUAACGGCCUACCAAGGCGACGAUCAGUAGCUGGUCUGAGAGGAUGAUCAGCCACACUGGGACUGAGACACGGCCCAGACUCCUACGGGAGGCAGCAGUGGGGAAUAUUGGACAAUGGGCGCAAGCCUGAUCCAGCCAUGCCGCGUGAGUGAUGAAGGCCUUAGGGUUGUAAAGCUCUUUUGUCCGGGACGAUAAUGACGGUACCGGAAGAAUAAGCCCCGGCUAACUUCGUGCCAGCAGCCGCGGUAAUACGAAGGGGGCUAGCGUUGCUCGGAAUCACUGGGCGUAAAGGGCGCGUAGGCGGCCAUUCAAGUCGGGGGUGAAAGCCUGUGGCUCAACCACAGAAUUGCCUUCGAUACUGUUUGGCUUGAGUAUGGUAGAGGUUGGUGGAACUGCGAGUGUAGAGGUGAAAUUCGUAGAU
RNAcentral lists this ribosomal RNA (568 nucleotides) under Methylobacterium sp. H7.48. RNAcentral describes it as "bacterial SSU rRNA". It matches the Rfam family "Bacterial small subunit ribosomal RNA", at positions 92 to 695 of the family's 1533-position model. The record is from RNAcentral. Lineage: Bacteria; Pseudomonadati; Pseudomonadota; Alphaproteobacteria; Hyphomicrobiales; Methylobacteriaceae.